Molecule: transfer RNA, 92 nt
Filed under: Streptomyces griseosporeus
Lineage: Bacteria; Bacillati; Actinomycetota; Actinomycetes; Kitasatosporales; Streptomycetaceae
Description: tRNA-Pro
Source: RNAcentral
CUGGUCGUCGGCCGCGGCGGCGGCGCGCCGUGCCUGGAGCGCGGCCCGGAGGGCGGUGACGUCCUCGUCGGUGCGGCGCCGGGCGGCCAGCC